RNAcentral lists this ribosomal RNA (905 nucleotides) under uncultured Bacillota bacterium. RNAcentral's name for it is "bacterial SSU rRNA". It matches the Rfam family "Bacterial small subunit ribosomal RNA", at positions 1 to 917 of the family's 1533-position model. The record is from RNAcentral. Lineage: Bacteria; Bacillati; Bacillota.
UGGAUCCAGACUUUGAUCCUGGCUCAGGAUGAACGCUGGCGGCGUGCCUAACACAUGCAAGUCGAACGGACUUACAUUGAAGCCUAGCGAUAUGUAAGUUAGUGGCGGACGGGUGAGUAACGCGUGGGUAACCUGCCUUGUACUGGGGGACAACAGUUGGAAACGACUGCUAAUACCGCAUAAGCGCACAGCUUCGCAUGAAGCAGUGUGAAAAACUCCGGUGGUACAAGAUGGACCCGCGUCUGAUUAGCUGGUUGGUGAGGUAACGGCCCACCAAGGCGACGAUCAGUAGCCGGCCUGAGAGGGUGAACGGCCACAUUGGGACUGAGACACGGCCCAAACUCCUACGGGAGGCAGCAGUGGGGAAUAUUGCACAAUGGGGGAAACCCUGAUGCAGCAACGCCGCGUGAGUGAAGAAGUAUUUCGGUAUGUAAAGCUCUAUCAGCAGGAAAGAAAAUGACGGUACCUGACUAAGAAGCCCCGGCUAACUACGUGCCAGCAGCCGCGGUAAUACGUAGGGGGCAAGCGUUAUCCGGAUUUACUGGGUGUAAAGGGAGCGUAGACGGUUUUGCAAGUCUGAAGUGAAAGCCCGGGGCUUAACCCCGGGACUGCUUUGGAAACUGUAGAACUAGAGUGCAGGAGAGGUAAGUGGAAUUCCUAGUGUAGCGGUGAAAUGCGUAGAUAUUAGGAGGAACACCAGUGGCGAAGGCGGCUUACUGGACUGUAACUGACGUUGAGGCUCGAAAGCGUGGGGAGCAAACAGGAUUAGAUACCCUGGUAGUCCACGCCGUAAACGAUGAUUACUAGGUGUUGGUGGGUAUGACCCAUCGGUGCCGCAGCAAACGCAAUAAGUAAUCCGCCUGGGGAGUACGUUCGCAAGAAUGCAACUCAAAUGAAUUGACGGA